ACACUUACCUGGCAGGGGAGAUGCCAUGAUCACAAAGGUGGUUUUCCCAGGGCGAGGCUUACCUAUUGCACUCUGGAUGUGCUGACCCCUGUGAUUUCCCCAUGUGGGAAACUCAACUGCAUAAUUUGUGGUAGUGGGGGACUGCGUUCACACUCUCCCCUG
This 162-nucleotide small nuclear RNA is filed under the name Echinops telfairi (small Madagascar hedgehog). RNAcentral describes it as "U1 spliceosomal RNA (ENSETEG00000022271.1)". It matches the Rfam family "U1 spliceosomal RNA". From Rfam's summary of the family: U1 is a small nuclear RNA (snRNA) component of the spliceosome (involved in pre-mRNA splicing). Its 5' end forms complementary base pairs with the 5' splice junction, thus defining the 5' donor site of an intron. There are significant differences in sequence and secondary structure between metazoan and yeast U1 snRNAs, the latter being much longer (568 nucleotides as compared to 164 nucleotides in human). The record is from RNAcentral. Lineage: Eukaryota; Metazoa; Chordata; Mammalia; Afrosoricida; Tenrecidae.